CAGCAGCCACGGGAAUACGAAGGGGGCUAGCGUUGCUCGGAAUCACUGGGCGUAAAGGGUGCGUAGGCGGGUCUUUAAGUCAGGGGUGAAAUCCUGGAGCUCAACUCCAGAACUGCCUUUGAUACUGAAGAUCUUGAGUUCGGGAGAGGUGAGUGGAACUGCGAGUGUAGAGGUGAAAUUCGUAGAUAUUCGCAAGAAUACCAGUGGCGAAGGCGGCUCACUGGCCCGAUACUGACGCUGAGGCACGAAAGCGUGGGGAGCAAACAGGAUUAGAUACCCCCGUAGUCCCUGUCUCUUAUAC
Molecule: ribosomal RNA, 301 nt
Filed under: uncultured bacterium
Lineage: Bacteria
Description: partial 16S ribosomal RNA
Rfam family: Bacterial small subunit ribosomal RNA
Source: RNAcentral